GAAGCGGUGGCUCAAUGGUAGAGCUUUCGACUCCAGUUAAACUCUGGAACUCCUGGAAAAAUUGCAAUCGAAGGGUUGCAGGUUCAAUUCCUGUCCGUUUCA
This 102-nucleotide transfer RNA is filed under the name Huiozyma naganishii CBS 8797. RNAcentral's name for it is "Kazachstania naganishii CBS 8797 tRNA". It matches the Rfam family "tRNA". From Rfam's summary of the family: Transfer RNA (tRNA) molecules are approximately 80 nucleotides in length. Lineage: Eukaryota; Fungi; Ascomycota; Saccharomycetes; Saccharomycetales; Saccharomycetaceae. The record is from Rfam by way of RNAcentral.